Long non-coding RNA from Ananas comosus (pineapple), 1093 nucleotides. RefSeq lists it as uncharacterized. The transcript has 2 exons. The record is from RefSeq and is a predicted model, not a curated record. Lineage: Eukaryota; Viridiplantae; Streptophyta; Magnoliopsida; Poales; Bromeliaceae.
UGGAGGACUUAUACAAAUAGAGCAUUGGAGACGCUCCCACCUUUUUGUCUAGCGGGGUCCCAGGUUUGGCGAUCUAGGACCACCUUAAUCUGCUUCCACAUUAUUAAGCUGCAUCUUCCAGAUCGUGUGCUCGUGUGCUUCGACAGUUUGGUCUGUUACAACAUAUACCUGAAGCAGUGGUUGCCAUAUCUCGCAUCACUUCACGGGUAGAGCAGAUGAGAAUUGGGCGGCGUAUCAUGCUUCAUAUAUUCAGCAUUGGGAUGAUAGAUUGAUGGAUAUACUAGAGAUGAACCUUGAGGUAAAUCCAGAUCCUAUAGGAGCUAUCACUGCUUACAUGCAGUGGUAUUGGAGGAUCACCAGGAGGUGGAUAUCUAGGCUAGUACAGCGGCCACCCCUCGCGUAUCAGCCACAUGAUUACGUCGAGAGAGUAUUGGUCGAUAUCAUGCAGAGAUCAUAUUAUACGAUUAGAUGUGUCCUGCCAGAUAUUCCAUAUGGUGGAGUAUUAGACGCCCUAUCACAAGUUGCCGAUCAAAUAGAAGCAGUUUUGGAGACUUUACCUACACUUCCACACACUGUACCUCCACGGCUAACAGAACAGGUGGACCAUCGACGUCGGGCCAUGUACCAUUGUAUAGUCCACCGAGGCCAUCUUCAUCGAUAGAGGAGCCACCUUAUCAUCCAGAUACAGUACCAGCACCAGUACCAGAGGAUCCACCUCGACCAGUCGAUAUUGUUUAUCGUAGGCACCGACGACAAUUGCAUUCUUUCCAUAUAGAUCAACCCUCCUCUUCAGCUCCUCCACGGCCAGACAUACUACCGACACCUGCUAUGAUUGAGCACAAGAUCAAACGGGUGAUCGAGACGCAGGACACUCAGACAGUUAUUGAGGGUGCUACUAUCAAACAUCUCGACCAGUUGGAGGUCAUAGAGCCCUUUGAUGAGCAUAGUGUUGAUCGUGGUCGCGGUCGUGGUAGGAGACGUGCAGGUAGACGUGGUCGAGGGAUUAGGAGAAGAACAUGACAUUAUAUUUUUGUAAAUUUUAAAUUACACCGAACUUUCUAUAUUAUUGAAAAACUUGCUUUAAUUUUUGAUA